CGUAUACUUACAUGUUCCAAUCUGUGUUCGUGUGUGUGUGUAUGUGUUAAUAAUAAUGCAAAAUCCCUGGAAAUAUAGCCGAUACUAACUACCAAAACAGACUGUUAUUGGAAGCCGGGAUCGGAUAUAGAUCUCAGUAAGCGUCAUUCACAUUAAACAUUCAUCUGGUCCUACAUUCAGUAUUGAACCCUAUAUUCUACUCUGUAUGAUCGAUUAUUUUGUUUAUAUUUAAAUCCCACCCUCCACUCACACAAAUACACAAUGUUCCAAUUAAGUAAUUAUGGAAAACGACAUUGUUUCAUUAUUCCUAUUUUAAGUGGUAUAUUUACAUGCUGUAUUGUAAAUAUUGUUCUAAUUACAUAUUUAUCAGACCUUUGUCAGAGAAUUCUGACAAAUUUCCAGUCAGAGAAUUACGACCGUCUAUUCGCAAUCUUCUCUCCAUAUUCAUCAAAUAUCUCUUUCUUACUGACCUCGUCCCUACUACAUUUCAAGUAAUGUACAGCGAAAUUUAUAGGUUCACCCAUAUACAUAUAUAUAUACAUGGUGUGUGUAUGUGUGUGAGUCUGUGUGUUCUGUGUGCUUGUCUGUGUGUGUUGAAAGAGAGAAGGAUAUAUAUUUGUGUGAGAGCAUAAUAUCAACAAUUUCUCUUCAUAAGCCACAAUAUCGCUAUGUCUUAAAGCCAGUUCUUAGAUGUGAUUCAAUUUAUAGAUGUAAUUAGCAAUUUCAAGAUACUAUUAAUUACGUUGAUGAAUCACAAAUUGUCUGAGCAAUGCUGCGUAUGGUUUGAUAGUCCACCAUUAUAGCCACAAAUGAUAUUGACGAGACAAUCUGUCUGUUCUGUGAGUAGAAUAUUGGGUAGUUAGCUUCGAUAAAAGGGAACCAUUUAUAGUGGAGUUUAUCGAUACAUUAUGAAUGUAACCAUUUAUCUCUAUCAUAUUCAAUAUUGCAGUCGUGUUUCAAAGAAAUUCUAUGCCCGUUGGAUCCUACUUGGCAGCUAAUAUGAUUUUUCGGUCAUUCACCCUUGCACAGCUGCUAAUUAGUGAAAUCUGUUGAAGCCUAUUUUAAUACAGGUGGGGUGGGGGUAGGUUGGCUUUUUGCGUUUGAGUGACAGCUAAGAGUAUUUAAGCUGCAUUUAAAAGUGAUGUUCUAAGUUCAAAUCCUAACGAGGUCAACUUUGCUUUUCAUCUUUCUACAAUCGCAAAAAUAUAUUACCAGUCAAACAUUUGAAUCGAUAUGAUCGAUUACACGCUUCUCCGAAGCUGAAACUCUGAGAUUAUUAAUAUAUUAGAUGCUUUAUUAAUCGUUGAAAAUAUUUCUAAGACGUUAAAUAUUUAAUUCAGCUACGCAAUGGCAAAACUUGUUUAAUUUGAAGAUAAAUUCUUACUGAUUGAAUAUCGAAUGUUUGGUUCGUCAAACUUCACUGGAUGUUAUCAAUAGAUCGAUACAAAUCAGCUUCUGUAGAACUUGUCUUUAGCGCAUACUUUGGGAAGACUGAAAUAAGUGUCAUUUGAUGAAAAAAUGUUCAGAAAUGACAAGAAAUGACGAGGCUUAGAGAAAAUUAUGGCAUUUUAAAAACUAACCUCAAUACAUUACUGCUACGUUAUUUUAUCGACUCCAAAAACACGAAAGGUGACGUUGUUCGCGGCGAGAUUUGAACUCAGAAUAUUGGGUAUCAUGCCUUUGGCAAUAUGCGAAUGCGCGUGUAUUAUAUAACAGAAUGCAAAUUAUAAACGUGAGCCAUUCGAUAUGCUGAGAACGAUAAAACAAAUUCUAUACCGAAAGAAGUAUUAAACCCCAAAUGAUCACCCUGAACUGUAGCAUGGGCAGAAUCUGAUGACUGAAACCAACAGAGGAAUAAAGCAUUGAUGAAUAGACUAGGAGCAUUGUAGCUCUACGAGAAAUGAAUUUGUCAAUGAAGAGAGGUUUUAUGAAUAUAAAAUAUUAAUAAUAACUUCGUAUUUCUGUAGUAAGUCAUUGUUUUGGUACAAGUGGGCCCUAACACGUCAUACCUUAGAAAAAGGGCGUUCCGGCCCUAACUAUCACUCUUUUACUUCAAAUAUAAUGUAUGCAGGACUGCAUUUUGUUAUACGUAGUUCCGUUUUUAUAAUCAGUAUAGUGUGAUAUGAGCAAAAAAGGUAAGGUAGGAAAAAGCUGAAGAAGCCUAACAUUACUUGUAGGAAUCUUUGUCAAUACGUGAUUAGCUUUCCGUCCUUUAUUGACGAUAUCGAAUAGAUUAGGAGUUGUACGGGAGAGGAGGAGACAAAGACAGAGAGGAGAAGAAAGUCGAAGAAUAAGGAAGUGGAGAGUAAUAGAGGGAAGAAAAAGAUUUUAUAAUAAGGGAUGGUGGGGGUCAGAAAAGUGGGAAGUUGGACAGCGAUUAACAUGAGGAGACAAUCAGUGUGAAGGCUGGCAAUUUGAAGGUAAUCAGGAUAAGAGAAGUUAAUUUUAAUUUGGUUAUUAAUUCAAAAAAAAACCACUUAAAAUUAGUGUUAUCUAAAUGUAUGGGAGGAGGAAGUAAGAGCGGGCAAAA
Long non-coding RNA from Octopus sinensis (East Asian common octopus), 2530 nucleotides. RefSeq lists it as uncharacterized. The transcript has 2 exons. The record is from RefSeq and is a predicted model, not a curated record. NCBI's taxonomy places the organism in Eukaryota, Metazoa, Mollusca, Cephalopoda, Octopoda, Octopodidae.